UCCAGUAUCUGAAAAGCACAAGAGCAUCUACUGCCAGGAUGGUGUUCACAGACUGAGCCUCUAGAAUUUCCCAGCAUCAGGCAGCUGCUUGCACUCCAGUGAGUCAGACUCAUUUUAGUGUGUCACUGCUGGUCUCAAGGAUGGGCUGGUAAAGCCCAAUACUGGGAAGAUCUCAACGGUUUCUAUCCCUAGGCCAGUGCCUGUGGACAGAGUAUCUGGACUUGCUCUGAUAUCGGGGGAGAAACUGCACCUGGUGAAGUGAACUUUUUUGGUGUGUAACACCUCCAGCUUCAUGCAGACCAGGGAUUGAAGAUACAAGCAAGGUCAUGGAUGGCCAGAGGAACCAGGGAGAAUAACAGGGAAACAAGGCCAGAAUUUAGGCAACUUGACCAAAGAUCUAUAGCUGUUGGAUAGAUGGCGAAUAAGUGAAACAAUUUUGAGCAAGAAGAACAAGCCUGGAGGCAUCAUAUAUCUGGAUUUCAGAGUAUAUCCCCAUCUACAGUAAUCAAAACAGUGUAAUAUUGGCAUUAAUACAGAUAGACCAAUGGAACAGAAUAGAGAGCUAAAAAGUAAACCCAUGAAUAUACUACAACCAAGAAUGUACAGUGGGGAAAGGAUAGUCUCUUCAAUAAAUGGCAUUAGAAAAAUUGAAUAUUUACAUCCAAAAGAUUGAAACUGCAUCCUUAUGUCAUACACAAAAAUUAAAGCAAAAUGGAUUAGACUUGAAUGUAAGAUCUGAAACCAUCAAACUCCUAGAGGAAAACAUGAGAAAACUUUCUUGACAUUUGUCUUAGCAAGGAGUUUUGAACUAUAACACUAAAAUCCUAGGCAAAAAUGUUAAUAGCCAAAAAUAAAAACACAAUUAAAACUACGCAAGGAUCCAAAUAGACAUUUCUCCAACAGAGACAUGCACAUAUCAAUAGGUAUAUGAACAAAUGUGCAACAUCACCAACCAUGAGGUAAAUGCAACUCAAAACCACAAUGAGUUAUCACCUCACAUCUGUUAGGAUG
Oryctolagus cuniculus (rabbit) is the source of this 1011-nucleotide non-coding RNA. The record is from RefSeq and is a predicted model, not a curated record. Lineage: Eukaryota; Metazoa; Chordata; Mammalia; Lagomorpha; Leporidae.